ACCUUGGCCUAACUGUGGGUCUCAGGGCCGGUUGCCGUCGUCUGUAUCCUGGUGAGGCUCUUGUGCGCUGAAUAGCUGAUCGGCAGGUGCCUUCCAAAGGGGAGGGGAACUACAACUUCCAUCAUCCCCCAGCCUGCAUGGCACAUUUGCUGAGGAGGAAGUUGAAAAGGGUUGAUCCAGAAAGAGAACGUUACAUCCUCCAAGUUCCCUUUGAUUCGGUCAGUACCUUCAAAGUUGCCUUCAUCCCGGCUGCUAAUGGCUCUUCCAGUUGAUGCUCUUGUAUUAAUGAAAGGUAACAACAAACAGCUCUUAACUAGCAGGGAGAGCCAGAAGAAAUUCUGAAUCCUCCCGCUUUGUGGCUGUUUCUGAGCCGGGUUACAAUUUCCGUGUAAGUAAGAGCUUAAACCUGUCAGCUAAUUCCUUCGAGUUGUCUCCCAUCCAGCAGAACAGCAGUGAGUGGUGCCAUUACCCCCACCAAGAGGCAGCCACAUGCAGAGAGGAAAGAGAAGUAUGCUGUCACUACAGAGUUGAGGCUCUAGGCUGUCCCUUAUUUCAGCUGCUGCUGCCGCUCCACCUCCCCCUUGAUUUGUGACAGAAGAACAACUAGCAAGAAUCCCACCCACCACCUGUCAUUUUUCUAUUUACCAAACAUGAGGUGAGGGAAACAUCCUAUCUAGUGAUUGUCAUUUUCUGAGCAGAAGCCCUUAAUCUCACCAAGAAGGAGGAGUUUGUCUUUCCAUCAUUGGAACAAAUGUAAGCCUCCCUCUGUAUGUGCCCCCGUCUUUCAAACAAUAAAGGGAGGAUAAAAAACUGU
Pantherophis guttatus is the source of this 814-nucleotide non-coding RNA. NCBI's taxonomy places the organism in Eukaryota, Metazoa, Chordata, Lepidosauria, Squamata, Colubridae. The record is from RefSeq and is a predicted model, not a curated record.